CACGUAGGGGGCCAGCGUUGUCCGGAAUUACUGGGCGUAAAGAGCGCGUAGGCGGUCUGGUCAGCAGUGGGUGAAAUGCCGGGGCUCAACCCCGGCGCUGCUUGCUGAACUGCCAGACUAGAGUUCGGGAGAGGGCAGUGGAAUUCCUGGUGUAGCGGUGGAAUGCGUAAAUAUCAGGAGGAACACCGGUGGCGAAGGCUGCUGCCUGGAACGAUACUGACGCUGAGGCGCGAAAGCCAGGGGAG
RNAcentral lists this ribosomal RNA (245 nucleotides) under uncultured bacterium. Its description in RNAcentral is "partial 16S ribosomal RNA". It matches the Rfam family "Bacterial small subunit ribosomal RNA", at positions 524 to 768 of the family's 1533-position model. The record is from RNAcentral.